This 463-nucleotide ribosomal RNA is filed under the name uncultured Actinomycetes bacterium. Its description in RNAcentral is "bacterial SSU rRNA". It matches the Rfam family "Bacterial small subunit ribosomal RNA", at positions 224 to 704 of the family's 1533-position model. The record is from RNAcentral. Lineage: Bacteria; Bacillati; Actinomycetota; Actinomycetes.
GAGGAGGUCGCGGCUGAUUAGCUAGUUGGCGGGGUAAUGGCCCACCAAGGCAAAGAUCGGUAGCCGGCCUGAGAGGGCGCACGGCCACACUGGAACUGAAACACGGUCCAGACUCCUACGGGAGGCAGCAGUGGGGAAUUUUGCGCAAUGGGGGAAACCCUGACGCAGCAACGCCGCGUGGAGGAUGAAGUCCCUUGGGACGUAAACUCCUCUCGACCCGGACGAUAAUGACGGUACGGGUGGAAGAAGCCCCGGCUAACUUCGUGCCAGCAGCCGCGGUAAUACGAGGGGGGCAAGCGUUGUUCGGAAUUAUUGGGCGUAAAGGGCGCGUAGGCGGUGCGGUAAGUCACCUGUGAAACCUCUAGGCUUAACCUAGAGCCUGCAGGCGAAACUGCCGUGCUUGAGGGUGGGAGAGGUGCGUGGAAUUCCCGGUGUAGCGGUGAAAUGCGUAGAUAUCGGGAGG